ACCUGCAUUCAAAAGUGACCAUGGGCUGUCUGUGCUCUGGUCAUCCAUAAUGCAGGGAGAAGAAUUGCUGAAAGCCAUUUCCCGUGUUUGAGGGGUUCAUGCCUGUCCCUUUCAAAUGCUGGUGCUUUCACACA
Molecule: small nucleolar RNA, 134 nt
Organism: Jaculus jaculus (lesser Egyptian jerboa)
Lineage: Eukaryota; Metazoa; Chordata; Mammalia; Rodentia; Dipodidae
Gene: SNORA71
Rfam family: Small nucleolar RNA SNORA71
About the family: The members of this family belong to the H/ACA class of snoRNAs which bind a number of proteins (including dyskerin, Gar1p and Nop10p) to form snoRNP complexes. This class of snoRNAs are thought to guide the sites of modification of uridines to pseudouridines by forming direct base pairing interactions with substrate RNAs.
Source: Ensembl